Molecule: unclassified non-coding RNA, 682 nt
Filed under: Hevea brasiliensis (rubber tree)
Lineage: Eukaryota; Viridiplantae; Streptophyta; Magnoliopsida; Malpighiales; Euphorbiaceae
Source: RNAcentral
GAUUUGUAUGUCAAUCUCCUCGAAAGCAUUGUUAAUAACUAAUGUGGAAGACAGGAGACACUGGAACUGGUUUCCUACAGAAGAAUCAAGAUUCCAUGCUGUGGCGUAUUGCCAGCAGGUAUGGUGGUUUGAAUUAAGUGGCGCAGUUAGUUUUCCUUUUCCUCCUGGUAUAUACACUGUAACAUUCAGAGUUCACCUUGGGAAAAUAUUUAAAAGACUCGGUCGGCGUGCUUGCAACUUUGAGCAUACUCAUGGAUGGGAUUUGGGGCCAGUACGUUAUGAACUAUCUACUUCUGAUGGGCAACACACAGUUAAUGAGUGCUUCAUAGAUGAUGCUGGGCAAGACGACCCAAUUGGGAAUAUCAGGCGUGGGAGCUGGAUUGAGUACAAGGUGGGUGAAUUUAUUGUCAGUACAUCAGAUCCUGUGACGGAAGUUAGAUUUUCAAUGAAACAGAUCGACUGCACACAUUCUAAAGGCGGACUCUGUGUUGAUUCUGUAUCAAUUACCCCCAGUGAUCUGAAAGUCCAUCCUAGAAAAGGGGUUUAAAGUAUAUCUGUAAGUGACAUGUUUUCUUGUGAAUGCUCUCAGAAAAAUUUCUAUGAGUUCCAUUAUACCGCCUAAAAACAAUACAUUUGAGAAGGUAGUCAUUGUAAAAUUCUUUUUUUGCCUUAGGUAUGUCUU